Molecule: long non-coding RNA, 236 nt
Filed under: Lathyrus oleraceus (garden pea)
Lineage: Eukaryota; Viridiplantae; Streptophyta; Magnoliopsida; Fabales; Fabaceae
Description: Pisum sativum (pea) long non-coding RNA (PSAT_LNC009313)
Source: RNAcentral
AAACAUGAAGAAGUUUGCACAACAUCUAUGUCAAGUUUGAAAUCAAAGUGUGAAAAGGUUUAGGACAUAAUGAGAGAUGAAUGAAUGAGGAUGGAUUGUAAAAACUUCUUAGAAGGUUCACUUCUUGAAAUCAUAUAGGAGAUGAUUCAAGUGUGUCCUUUGGAAUGGAAAAUAAGUAAUGAUAAAAUAAACAAACAAAUGAUACCGGAUGCCACUCAAUGGUCUUACUCCAAUCU